AUGAGAUUAUCAACAUUAUCUGAGGCUACGCUGGAGCAGACGUUCCAGAUGUUCCAGAGUCACAGACGUUCCAGAGACACAGAUGUUCCAGAUGUUCCAGAUGUUCCAGAGUCACAGACGUUCCAGAGACACAGAUGUUCCAGAGACACAGAUGUUCCAGAUGUUCCAGAGACACAGAUGUUCCAGAGACACAGAUGUUCCAGAGACACAGAUGUUCCAGAGACACAGAUGUUCCAGAGACACAGAUGUUCCAGAGACACAGAUGUUCCAGAGACACAGAUGUUCCAGAGACACAGAUGUUCCAGAGACACAGAUGUUCCAGAGACACAGAUGUUCCAGAGACACAGAUGUUCCAGAGACACAGAUGUUCCAGAGACACAGAUGUUCCAGAGACACAGAUGUUCCAGAGACACAGAUGUUCCAGAGACACAGAUGUUCCAGAGACACAGAUGUUCCAGAGACACAGAUGUUCCAGAGACACAGAUGUUCCAGAGACACAGAUGUUCCAGAGACACAGAUGUUCCAGAGACACAGAUGUUCCAGAGACACAGAUGUUCCAGAGACACAGAUGUUCCAGAGACACAGAUGUUCCAGAGACACAGAUGUUCCAGAGACACAGAUGUUCCAGAGACACAGAUGUUCCAGAGACACAGAUGUUCCAGAGACACAGAUGUUCCAGAGACACAGAUGUUCCAGAGACACAGAUGUUCCAGAGACACAGAUGUUCCAGAGACACAGAUGUUCCAGAGACACAGAUGUUCCAGAGACACAGAUGUUCCAGAGACACAGAUGUUCCAGAGACACAGAUGUUCCAGAGACACAGAUGUUCCAGAGACACAGAUGUUCCAGAGACACAGAUGUUCCAGAGACACAGAUGUUCCAGAGACACAGAUGUUCCAGAGACACAGAUGUUCCAGAGACACAGAUGUUCCAGAGACACAGAUGUUCCAGAGACACAGAUGUUCCAGAGACACAGAUGUUCCAGAGACACAGAUGUUCCAGAGACACAGAUGUUCCAGAGACACAGAUGUUCCAGAGACAAAGACGUUCCAGAGACACAGAUGUUCUGAACUUGCUGUUUAA
Molecule: long non-coding RNA, 1083 nt
Filed under: Nothobranchius furzeri (turquoise killifish)
Lineage: Eukaryota; Metazoa; Chordata; Actinopteri; Cyprinodontiformes; Nothobranchiidae
Description: lncRNA (ENSNFUG00015005563.1)
Source: RNAcentral